Molecule: ribosomal RNA, 102 nt
Filed under: uncultured bacterium
Lineage: Bacteria
Description: partial 16S ribosomal RNA
Rfam family: Bacterial small subunit ribosomal RNA
Source: RNAcentral
UACACACCGCCCGUCACACCACGAGAGUUUGUAACACCCGAAGUCGGUGGGGUAACGCAAUUCGCGAGCCAGCCGCCUAAGGUGGGACAGAUGAUUGGGGUG